Molecule: long non-coding RNA, 212 nt
Organism: Thunnus maccoyii (southern bluefin tuna)
Lineage: Eukaryota; Metazoa; Chordata; Actinopteri; Scombriformes; Scombridae
Exons: 3
Source: RefSeq, a predicted model, not a curated record
GUUUUCACAAGCAGCCAAUAGUGACUUCCGCCCAGAAAAAGAACCCUUCAUUAACACCAGUAAAAAGAAGAAUGACACUGUGGAGUGUCCAUCAAAGCACUGCUGUGGUGCAUGCUCUAGAAAAAUGGAAGGCAGGUGAAUUUCAUCAGAGAAUUCCCAUGGGCUUCAGAUGGAAUUGGUUAAGUAAGGAUGGCCACCAAUGUGAAACGUCC